Molecule: signal recognition particle RNA, 266 nt
Filed under: Fidelibacterota bacterium
Lineage: Bacteria; Pseudomonadati; Fidelibacterota
Description: signal recognition particle sRNA large type
Rfam family: Bacterial large signal recognition particle RNA
About the family: The signal recognition particle (SRP) is a universally conserved ribonucleoprotein involved in the co-translational targeting of proteins to membranes. Archaeal SRP consists of a 7S RNA and homologues of the eukaryotic SRP19 and SRP54 proteins.
Source: RNAcentral
UCGUGCUAGACGGGGAGGUAGCGGUGCCCUGUAACCUGCAACCCGCUAUAGCAGGGUUUAAUUCCAAAGUACGGCCGGUGCUGUGUUCAACUAUCUCAGUAAGUGAUGUUGAAACUUCAAGCUGUUACAAUGGUUUUUUACUGAACCCCGUCAGGCCUGGGAAGGAGCAGCGGUAGGUGAUGAAGUCAUUAGGUAGCGGUUUGCUGAAGUGGAGUUAACUGUUGCGAUCAGGCGAAUAUCCAGAUCGGUCCAGCAAUGGUGCACGA